This 132-nucleotide small RNA is filed under the name Klebsiella pneumoniae. RNAcentral's name for it is "RtT sRNA". It matches the Rfam family "RtT RNA". From Rfam's summary of the family: This family represents a bacterial cis-regulatory element known as RtT RNA. The exact function of RtT is unknown although it is thought that it may be involved in changing the cellular response in relation to amino acid starvation. Lineage: Bacteria; Pseudomonadati; Pseudomonadota; Gammaproteobacteria; Enterobacterales; Enterobacteriaceae. The record is from RNAcentral.
UAUUCUGCCCCAUGGGGAAGGAUGAGAAGCUUCGACUAAGGUUCGACUCGAACGAAGCGAGAGAACGUUGCCGCAGGCAACGGCCCGAAGGGCGAGGCGCUUUAGCGCCGAGUAAUCCUUCCCCCACCACCA